UAGUUUUUAAAUAAAGAAUCGCAAUGCGUUAUGUGAAAAUAAAUGAAUAUCUUCAUGCGGUCAGAUUAUUUGAGUGUUAAAAUACUAGAAAAGUGCUCAUUUACCACUUGUUCUACAACUUAACAUGGGGAACACAGCUAAAAAAAAAUCACUAUGUCAAAGGGAGGUAAUCCAUUUUUUCAUAUGAUUUUAUAGAUAUUAUGAGGAGAA
This 210-nucleotide long non-coding RNA is filed under the name Mytilus galloprovincialis (Mediterranean mussel). Lineage: Eukaryota; Metazoa; Mollusca; Bivalvia; Mytilida; Mytilidae. The record is from RNAcentral.